GAUGAAGAACGUAGCGAAAUGCGAUAAGUAGUGUGAAUUGCAGAAUUCAGUGAAUCAUCGAAUCUUUGAACGCACAUUGCGCCCCUUGGUAUUCCAUGGGGCAUGCCUGUUCGAGCGUCAUUUGUACCUUCAAGCUCUGCUUGGUGUUGGGUGUUUGUCUCGCCUCUGCGUGUAGACUCGCCUCAAAACAAUUGGCAGCCGGCGUAUUGAUUUCGGAGCGCAGUACAUCUCGCGCUUUGCACUCAUAACGACGACGUCCAAAAGGACAUUUUUACACUCAUGACCUCGGAUCAGGUAGGGAUACCCGCUGAACUUAAGCAUAUCAAUAAGCGGAGGA
RNAcentral lists this unclassified non-coding RNA (337 nucleotides) under soil metagenome. RNAcentral's name for it is "partial contains 5.8S ribosomal RNA, internal transcribed spacer 2, and large subunit ribosomal RNA". The stretch from base 1 to 120 matches the Rfam family "5.8S ribosomal RNA", at positions 35 to 154 of the family's 154-position model. The record is from RNAcentral.